Molecule: non-coding RNA, 552 nt
Organism: Paramuricea clavata
Lineage: Eukaryota; Metazoa; Cnidaria; Anthozoa; Malacalcyonacea; Plexauridae
Source: the annotation of a GenBank genome assembly
UGGCCGAAUCCAAAAUAUCAAUUAAAUCGAUUGCAGAAAGUGCUAAACGCUGCUGCUCGUGUUGUAUGUCUUGUACCUAUUAAGUUUGAUCACAUUACACCUACAUUAAUGAGACUGCAUUGGAGCAUUGGUGACCGGUUAAAUAUCGUGUUAUAUCAGUUCAAGAUCGUACUGUUGGUUUAUAAAGCUCUGCAUGGAUUAACUCUCAAAUAUAUUUGUGACAUGUUGACUUAUAAACAAAGUAAUAACUACUCUUUGAGAUCGGACGAACUACGGCUUCUUCAUGUUCCAAGCACACGUAGAAAAUCUUUUGGUGAUCGUGCCUUUUUGAAAGCAGGACCUAUUCUAUGGAACUUACUACCGUGUGCAUGAGAUUCGGCUUUCACCUUCGUUGGAUUCUUUUAAGACAAAUCUUAUAAGACAUUUUUGUAUAGAGAUGCGUACAUUAAUAAUACUUCUUGUUUUUAAAUAUUUUUAAAUAGAUGCUUAUAGUAGUUAAAUGUUGUGUAAAUAACGUAGGGAAAUUUUUAAAAUUCUAUAGUUUUAGCGCGG